ACGCUCGACACCUACGGAGGCAGCAGUGGGGAAUAUUGCACAAUGGGGGAAACCCUGAUGCAGCGACGCCGCGUGAGCGAAGAAGUAUUUCGGUAUGUAAAGCUCUAUCAGCAGGGAAGAAAAUGACGGUACCUGACUAAGAAGCCCCGGCUAACUACGUGCCUGCAGCCGCGGUAAUCUGAGCGGGCUGGCAAGGC
Molecule: ribosomal RNA, 197 nt
Filed under: uncultured bacterium
Lineage: Bacteria
Description: partial 16S ribosomal RNA
Rfam family: Bacterial small subunit ribosomal RNA
Source: RNAcentral